CGAUGAUCACCACUAGAGGGCGCCCUACAGCAAAUUGCAUGUGAUAUCCAUAGAUGAAAGAGACAUCAUAAUGUACAUCAUAAGACGUUUGUCUUUCUUAAUCUGAGUUAGUGUCUUUUUUAUGUUAAAACUAGGCAGCAUGGAAGCUCACACCAUACUCCUUUGCCGAAAACAACCUCUUUGCUGUGUAGCUAGCGCUCUAACAUGAGAGAUCUCCACAUCAAUUCAUGCUACUUGGGACCAAAGAUCAAUGGCUUUGUCUAGUUCCUGUGGUACAUCUUCUGAGAGUGCAAAAUUCAUACCUUUUGCAAGAAAGCAUCACAACUGGGGUAUGCAUGCAAUAGUAAUUGUUGAAAAACCCUGAAAGACAGCCUGGUUCCUAGUUGAUGUAAGGUUAAAAACCCUGGUGAGCCUGAUGGGAUGGUAGGC
This 429-nucleotide long non-coding RNA is filed under the name Rattus norvegicus (Norway rat). Its description in RNAcentral is "long non-coding RNA NONRATT031968". Lineage: Eukaryota; Metazoa; Chordata; Mammalia; Rodentia; Muridae. The record is from RNAcentral.